This is a long non-coding RNA of Gallus gallus (chicken), 1898 nucleotides long. RefSeq lists it as uncharacterized. The transcript has 2 exons. NCBI's taxonomy places the organism in Eukaryota, Metazoa, Chordata, Aves, Galliformes, Phasianidae. The record is from RefSeq and is a predicted model, not a curated record.
GCCCGGGCCCGCGGCCGUUCUCCCCGCUCACCCGCAGCCUUGUCCGCCGCCAUCUCUGCCGCCGUUGCCGUGCGAUCCGAGCGCGCUGAGCGGGACGAGAACACUCCCCUGCUCCGCCGAACGCCGCCUGCUCCUCCGCCGAGCGCCGCGCCGCCUUCGGGACUACUUUACCGCCAGUCCCCUCCGCGCCGCUCCGUCCCUAUUCGCCCGCCGCUUCCGGGUUGCCGGCGCCCGCCGACGUGCAACCGUUGCUGGGGACCGCGUCUGACGUCACGACGCCGCUGCGCUCCCUCCCGGGAGGGGCGCCGUGCGCAUGCGCCUCGUCACCUCGCUGCGUCCUGUACGCCGCCAUGUUGUUGGCCUUACCCGGCGUGAGGGACACACCUCUGUGGGCUCAGCAGCUGCGCGUCGCCCCGACCGCAGCCUGGAAGAGGGCCUCAGGAGCCCGGCUGCUGAGGGCAGUUGGCAUCGGUUCUCUUGUGAGCCUGUGAGCUUCCAUCAGCGGACUCUCCUUGCUGCCACCAUCAGGCUGCAGUUCCUGUGAGAUGUUGCCUUUAUGAUUUUGCCGUCUGUUAACAUAGGAAUACUUCCUUGUAUUGUUUCUCCAGGUCUGGUUCUCCAAGGCUUCCCCUCCUUGCUCAUUUACUCCUGUUAAACAUCAAGUCACUUUUCUGCUCAUGUCUGUAAGUGUACAUAUACCCAAUUCUGAUCAGUAGAUUCCACCUCGUAAGGUUUUGACAUUGUUGCCAGCUGUCAACAUUUGCAAAGACAGACCAGGCAAUCUAAAGCAAACUGCACAUGUUAGAUGCCUGCUGCGCAUUCAAUAAAGAUGUGAGGACGAAAUUUAUCCUUAGGGAGGUGGACAACAGAACUGGAUUAGUGGAAGAAGGAUUUCCUGCCAGUGUUCUUAGAAUCAUAGAAUCACAGAAUCGUUAACAUUGGACAGAUCACUAAGAUCAUCUGGUCUGGCCACCAGCACAUCCCCACCGUGCUCACUGACCACGUCCCUCAGUGCCACAACUUGAGGCCAUUCCCUCUUGCCCUGUCACUGUCACCCGGGAGAAGAGGCCGACCCCCACCUCACCACAGCCUCCUUUCAGGCAGCUGUAGAGAGCGAUCAGGUCUCCCCUGAGCCUCCUCUUCUCCACACUGAACAAUCUCAGCUCCCUCAGCUGCUCCCAUCAGACCUGUGCUCCAGACCUCACAGCUCUGUUGCCCUUCUUUGGACACACUCCAGGGCCUCGAUGUCCUUCCUGCAGUGAAGGACCCAAAACUGAACACAGCACUCGAGGUGCGGCCUCACCAGUGCCGAGAACAGAGGGAACAUCACCUCCCUGCUUCUGCUGGCUGCGCUAUUUCUGACACAGGCAUCCAGCUACUCUGUUUUCCCUAAAGCUACUCUCUGACACAAGGCAGAGGAAGGUUUGUAAGGAAAGGUGAUACUUUGUUUAACAAAGGGAUAGAAUUAGAAAGAAUGUACAUAUGCAUGUAUGUAACAUGCAUACAACCUCACCGGCUCUGAAUGCCUUCAAACCAUCAGAGCUUUCAAUGAGCCAAGCUGUGUAAAAUGACACAUUUUUGAAAACAGUCGGUGAAAAAUUUCAAGAGUACAGUGAUUUUCUUUUUGUAAUUCUGAAUAUUCCAACUUGUGCUUAAUGACUUCUAUUAAUCACAACUUCUAUAGCUCCUCUUCAGUUUACCUGGAUUGUCAGGCUUUCUUUUGCACAUAUGCGUAUAUAUAUGUGAGAAAAUCCUACAAUCCUUAUACAUAAAUAUUUUAUUCCAAGCCUCUGAAUUUGUUGUAUUUCUUUUGUGAGAAACAGCUGCCGGCCCAGGCUGUCAGCCCAUGUCUGUGUGAGAACAUCUGCCAAUAAAGCUAUGGCAGCAAGCCCUCCUCA